CAAUAGCGUAUAUUAAAGUUGUUGCAGUUAAAAAGCUCGUAGUUGAACCUUGGGCCUGGCUGGCCGGUCUGCCUCACCGCAUGCACUGGUCCGGCCGGGCCUUUCCCUCUGGGGGUCCGCAUGCCCUUCACUGGGUGUGUCGGGGAACCAGGACUUUUACUGUGAAAAAAUUAGAGUGUUCAAAGCAGGCCUAUGCUCGAAUACAUUAGCAUGGAAUAAUAGAAUAGGACGUUGCGGUUCUAUUUUGUUGGUUUCUAGGACCGCCGUAAUGAUUAAUAGGGACAGUCGGGGGCGUCAGUAUUCAAUCGUCAGAGGUGAAAUUCUUGGAUCGAUUGAAGACUAACUACUGCGAAAGCAUUCGCCAAGGAUGUUUUCAUUAA
Molecule: ribosomal RNA, 380 nt
Filed under: uncultured eukaryote
Lineage: Eukaryota
Description: partial 18S ribosomal RNA
Rfam family: Eukaryotic small subunit ribosomal RNA
Source: RNAcentral